RNAcentral lists this unclassified non-coding RNA (737 nucleotides) under Hevea brasiliensis (rubber tree). The record is from RNAcentral. Lineage: Eukaryota; Viridiplantae; Streptophyta; Magnoliopsida; Malpighiales; Euphorbiaceae.
AAUUCCAAAAUGGGUAAAUCGACUCGCAAGAAUAGGUUCACUUUGCAAUUGCAUACUCCCAGAGGCCCUUAAGGCAACCACAGUAAGACAUGAACAUAAUUUCCAAGAAUGUGAUAAUGAAAAGAAGAGACUAAGAAGUGGCUUCAGCUGCUGGUCAUCAAUCUCAAUGCCUCAGAGGGAAGUAUCUCUGUCUUCAUUGUUUCUACAUUCUCACUAUAAAGGCUGCCUACCACCAUGGGAGUUAAAGAGGUCCAGAAAAGGUUCACUGAAGGAAGGUUAAAAAGACAUCAUCUACAUAUGCUUUGACAAAAUGGAAGGAUUACCUGUUGCCACUACGCAAUUUUCCGGAAUUGGGCAAUAUCAACAUUUCCCAUUGUCCAUGAUCCUGCUGGAAGUAAAGUCUGUUCCAGUUUGUUUUUUUGAAUGCCAAAACGGGGGCUUCGCACUUCUCAUCAUGUUUUCUGCUAAGCUGCAUCUUUGGCAUUUGCUUGCUUUCUUUGUGAGAUUGUAUUUUGAUACUGUGCAUUCAUAUUUAAAUAGCUGGAGAUGAACCAAUGUAGAUUAUUAUAUUGCCUUAUUCUAAGUCCCCCAUAACUCUUUUAUUAACAUUCUUGUGCUCCCACUACAAUUGGGUUUAGCAGGGAAAAUUAAAACAACUCAGUUGCCUCCUGUAGCAACUGCUUAAGGAAAACAAAAUGUAAAAAGAUACUAGUUUUUGAGAAUCAAAACAGCAAGAA